RNAcentral lists this ribosomal RNA (1467 nucleotides) under uncultured Bordetella sp. Its description in RNAcentral is "partial 16S-23S ribosomal RNA intergenic spacer". It matches the Rfam family "Bacterial small subunit ribosomal RNA". The record is from RNAcentral. Lineage: Bacteria; Pseudomonadati; Pseudomonadota; Betaproteobacteria; Burkholderiales; Alcaligenaceae.
GGUUCGAUCUGUCGAUUGAACGCUGGCGGGAUGCUUUACACAUGCAAGUCGAACAGCAUGCACGGACUUCAGUCACCGUGGCGAGAGUGGCGAACUGGGUGAGUAAUGUAUCGGAACGUGCCUAGUAGCGGGGGGAUAACUACGCGAAAGCGUAGCUAUUACCGCAUACGCCCUUCGAAGGGAAAGCGGGGGACCUUCCGGGCCUCGCACUAUUAGAAGCAGCCGAUAUCGGAUUAGCCUAGUUGGUGGGAGGUAACAGCGUCUUGGGCGUGAUCGCUGGCUGGUUUGGAAGGACGACCAGCCACACUGGGACUGAGACACGGCCCGAACUCCUACGGGAGGCAGCAGUGGGGGUACACCCCGGACAAUGGGAAACCUGAUCAGCCAUCCCGCGUAUGCGAUGAAGGCCUGUCGGUUAAACCCACUUUUGGCAGGAAAGAAACGGCGCGGAUAUCCCGUGCAACUGACAAUACCUGAAUAUGCAGCUAUACAUUACCCGGCAAUGCGGUAAUACGUAAGUGCAAAGCGUUAAUCGGAAUUACUGGGCGUAAAGCGUGCGCAGGCGGUUCCGGAAAGAAAAGAUGUGAAAUCCAAAACAACACUGAACUGCCAUUUUAACUACCGAGCUAGGAAUUAUUAUGCAGAGGGAGGUGGAAUUCCGCGUAGUGGAAAUGCGUAGAUAUGCGGGAGAACACCGAUGGCGAAGGCAGCCUCCUGGGAUAACACUGACGCUCAUGCGCAACCUUCGAGCAACAGGAUCGAACCCUGGUAGUCCCACGCCUAAGCAGUGUCAACGCUGGCUGUACGGGGCGUGGGCUGUGAUGCUCAGCUAACGCGUGAAGUUGACCACCUAGGAAGUACGGUCGCAAGAUUAAAACUCAAAGGAAUUGACGGGGACCCGCACGGCAGUGGAUGAUGGUUAAUUGGUACAGCGCGAAAACCUUACCUACCGCCGACGUGUCUGGAAUCCCGAAGAGAUUUGGAGUGCUCGCAAGAGAACCGGAACACAGGUGCUGCACUGGCUGUCGUCAGCUCGUGUCGUGAGAUGUUGGAGUUAAGUCCCCGCAACGAGCGCAGCCGCUGUCAUUAGUUUUACGAAAGGCACUCAGCCAAGACUGCCGGUGACAAACCGGAGGAAGGUGGGAAUAGCGUGAGUCCUAUGUGGCCCUUAUGGGUAGGGCUUCACACACGAUCAUACAAUGGUCGGGACAGAGGGUCGCCAACCCGCGAGGGGAGCCAAUCAGAAACCCGAUCGUAGUCGGAUCGCAGUCUGCGCUCGACUGCAGUCGAAUCGCUAGUAAUCGCGGAUCAGCAUGUCGCGAGGUGCAAAUACGUUCCCGGGUCUUGUACACACCGCCCGUCACACCAGGAUGCAGUUUUACCAGAAGUAGUUAGCCUAACCGCUAAGGAGGGCGAUUACCACGGUAGGAUUCUUGGCUAGAUGAAGGUCGUAACUAAAGAAGCAAC